UCUGUGUCCACAUCUGUGUGUAUCAGUGUGUGAAGCCGCGUAGCGGCUGAACGACCGAAGCCCUCGUCAAUGUCAGCAGUAACUAUAACUGUUCUAAGGUAGCGCAAUUCCUUUUCGGGUAAGUUCCGAAGCGCACGAAAGGCGUAACGACUGGGGAACUGUCUCAACGAAGAGCUCGGUGAAAAUGCGAUUCCCGUGAAGACGCGGGAUACCUCUAACGGGACGAAAAGACCCCGGGAGCUUUACUGUAGCUUGAUAUUGUUUUUAAAAUUUAGAUGCGUAGCGUAGUGGGGAGGCUUUGAAUCCGUCAUUUCGGUGGCGGAGGAGCCAUCAAUGAAACACCCAUCUUUUAAAUUUUAAAGACUAAUCUGCGUGGCAAAAAUACGCGGAGACAGUGUCUGGCGGGCAGUUUUUCUGGGGCGGAACUCUCCUAAAAAGUAACGGAGAGGUCUAUUAAGGUCGGCUUAGACCGGAUGGAAAUCGGUCUGGACGUAUAAAGGCAAAAGCCGGCUUAACGGCAAGGCUGACAAGCCGCGCCGGUGCGAAAGCAGAGCUUAAUGACCCGACGGUCCUUUAUAGAAAGGCCGGAGACAACGGAUAAAAGCUACCCCGGGGAUAGAGCCUGAAACAAGGCUUUGUUGUCCAACUCCGUAGUAAUGCGGAGAAUGUACGGCUUAUAACGGUGAAGCAAGAACGGUCUUUCCCGAAAAGGGUUUUCGAUUCUUGUAAUACCGUGGGAAGUUAAAGGAUAUAAUUAAAAUUGUGAAUCUCGCAAAAAAUUCCUUUAACCCUGUAACGACUUGGCCGCGUAUUGCGGCCGGAAUCGGAAUAUAUGAUGUGAUUAUAUUCUGAUUAAUACGCCGUCCCCCGACCACGGUCGGGGUGAAGAUAUAGUCUAAUACAUCAAAAGUAUUGAACAGGCUGGUGAGGUUCGAGAGUCCAUAUCGACGACCUCGCUCGGCACCUUAAACAACGACAUUGGGGUGCUAUGACAGUAAUGUCAUACCAAAAAUAAAAUGAACCCGUACUGACUUAUAAC
RNAcentral lists this ribosomal RNA (1039 nucleotides) under Candidatus Wolfebacteria bacterium CG03_land_8_20_14_0_80_40_12. RNAcentral's name for it is "bacterial LSU rRNA". The stretch from base 1 to 808 matches the Rfam family "Bacterial large subunit ribosomal RNA", at positions 1886 to 2925 of the family's 2925-position model. The record is from RNAcentral. Lineage: Bacteria; Candidatus Wolfeibacteriota.